RNAcentral lists this ribosomal RNA (267 nucleotides) under Triticum aestivum (bread wheat). Its description in RNAcentral is "partial small subunit ribosomal RNA". Lineage: Eukaryota; Viridiplantae; Streptophyta; Magnoliopsida; Poales; Poaceae. The record is from RNAcentral.
AUGGCAGCUCCAGCCAAGGCAUCGUGGAUGGUGGCGAUGAGCGUGGGCACUGUGGAGGCGCUCAAGGACCAGGCCGGGCUCUGCCGCUGGAACUACACGCUCAGGUCCAUCCACCGGGCAGCCAAGGCCAACGUCCGCAGCGGCGUCUCGCAGGGUAACAAGCAGCUGCCUGCCUCAGUGUCCGCCGUGGCCGAGAGGCGCCCAGCGGAGAAGGCCGAGGAGGGGCUGAGGACUGUCAUGUACCUUAGCUGCUGGGGCCUAAAUUAG